This 337-nucleotide unclassified non-coding RNA is filed under the name soil metagenome. RNAcentral's name for it is "partial contains 5.8S ribosomal RNA, internal transcribed spacer 2, and large subunit ribosomal RNA". The stretch from base 1 to 120 matches the Rfam family "5.8S ribosomal RNA", at positions 35 to 154 of the family's 154-position model. The record is from RNAcentral.
GAUGAAGAACGUAGCGAAAUGCGAUAAGUAGUGUGAAUUGCAGAAUUCAGUGAAUCAUCGAAUCUUUGAACGCACAUUGCGCCCCUUGGUAUUCCAUGGGGCAUGCCUGUUCGAGCGUCAUUUGUACCUUCAAGCUCUGCUUGGUGUUGGGUGUUUGUCUCGCCUCGGCGUGUAGACUCGCCUCAAAACAAUUGGCAGCCGGCGUAUUGAUUUCGGAGCGCAGUACAUCUCGCGCUUUGCACUCAUAACGACGACGUCCAAAAGUACAUUUUUACACUCUUGACCUCGGAUCAGGUAGGGAUACCCGCUGAACUUAAGCAUAUCAAUAAGCGGAGGA